Molecule: long non-coding RNA, 386 nt
Filed under: Mytilus galloprovincialis (Mediterranean mussel)
Lineage: Eukaryota; Metazoa; Mollusca; Bivalvia; Mytilida; Mytilidae
Source: RNAcentral
CGUUGCCGUCAGUUCAUAUUGUUUUUCAGAAGAUUGGUAGAAGAUUAUUUCUUUACCCUUUUAAAGUAUAUGUGCUUUUGAGACAUUUUCUGACUCCUGUCCUGUUCAAAAGUUUGAACGAUAAGCUGCAGAUUCUUUUUGUUAUCAGGGGGUCUCAUUGGGGUGUGCCGAUCCCGGAUCCCGCUUACUGUUUUGUCACAUUCCCGUUUCCCGCUUACACUAUGUACGUAAGCAAUUCUCAUUUUUUUUGUCAUUUCCUGGAUCCCGCUAGACCUCAUUUCCCGUUUUCACGACACAAUAAUUUGACUUUCACGUUUCACGCUUACAAAAUAAUCGGCAAUCCCGCGUCACGCUUAGACCCCAAUGAGACCCAUUUAUCAUAAAAC